RNAcentral lists this ribosomal RNA (253 nucleotides) under uncultured bacterium. RNAcentral describes it as "partial 16S ribosomal RNA". It matches the Rfam family "Bacterial small subunit ribosomal RNA", at positions 524 to 776 of the family's 1533-position model. The record is from RNAcentral.
UACGAAGGACCCGAGCGUUAUCCGGAUUUAUUGGGUUUAAAGGGUGCGUAGGCGGAUUAGUAAGUCAGUGGUGAAAGCCCAUCGCUUAACGGUGGAAUUGCCAUUGAUACUGCUAGUCUUGAGUAUGGUUGAGGUGGGCGGAAUGUGUCAUGUAGCGGUGAAAUGCUUAGAUAUGACCCAGAACACCAAUGGCGAAGGCAGCUCGCUAAGCCAUAACUGACGCUGAUGCACGAAAGCGUGGGGAGCAAACAGG